This is a long non-coding RNA of Danaus plexippus (monarch butterfly), 2061 nucleotides long. RefSeq lists it as uncharacterized. NCBI's taxonomy places the organism in Eukaryota, Metazoa, Arthropoda, Insecta, Lepidoptera, Nymphalidae. The record is from RefSeq and is a predicted model, not a curated record. The transcript has 2 exons.
UCCAUUUUGUUCAUUUUUAUCAAUAAUCCUAACAUUUAUGGUGAAAGCGUUUGUUGUAUAAUACCUAUUUUCUAACUGUCAACACUCACGACUUAAGUCUUAACUGUCACUACUCACUGCUGAAUAAUAUAAACAAAUAAAAAGAACAAAUUUCAGGCAAUUGACAAUUAACGUUAAUAAUGUAAAUAAAAUCUCGUAAUAAAUGUCUAUGUUUAAAAAUCUAUAAUUUUUUUAACUAUUUAAUAUUAAGAAGCCAAUACGGAGGAAUAAAUGAUUUUAUUAACAAUAGAUUUUUAAGCUAGGCCAAAAGAACUGUUGGUUUUAGUCCCUUUUUUGUGAAAUAUUGUUUUAAAUACACAAAAUACUUAAAUAUAAAAUAAAACAUAAAAGUGGGCCAAUCUUGAAGGCUAUUGAUUUUUGUGGGACUGUUCAAGUCAAAGCGUAGAAGAAAAUCUCAAGUGGAAGAACUAAAACAGAAAACUACAAAACCGGGUAAAGAAAGGUUCCAGUCGCAUCGUUUGAAAAGAUCAUUAUGAGAAAGCGAAAAUCGGAUCUUUCAAGACAAACAAGACAAGCUAGAAGAAUUAAAAAAGUCCGCUCACUAGAAACAGAAGAACAGAGAAUACAUAGGUUAGAAGUUAAUUCACAGCGUAUUGCUGCUGUCCGUAAAAAAGUUGCUUGGCUGAAAUCAUUGGAAACAUUUAUUCAGCUUCAAGAAAAUAUGAAAGAUGGUAGAGAACUAGAACCAUCUUCGUCUAAAGAGGAGUUAUCAAUGCAUAGUACCAAUGACAACUUUUCGUCCUUAAAAGAAGAUGAUUUUUCUGAAAUUAAAGAAAAAGUAUUACAGAAACAGUUUGGGGUUGAAAAUGAUGAUGAUGAGAAUCCCUCUGACCUUUUGAAAGUUCACCGAAUCAGCCCAUAUAGGAAAAAUAUUUUGAAAGUAUAAAGUAAAUUUGUGAAGACAACAUAAUAAGAGACACUAGACUUAUACUAACAAUAGACUAACUUCAUAUGUGUUUUAACAUAGCAUCUAUAAAAGUAUUUAAAUAAUUUAUCUUAUAUAGAAUAUACUCGUGUUAUUGUGUAAUAUGAUAUGCAUGUAAUUAAAAUUAAACUAAAUACAAUACAUCAUGUCUGGAUGAACCAUAAUUAUUGACCAAGUUGUCUUAAUUAGAUAAACCUUAUAACUGUACCGUUAUUGAUAAUAAAAAAUCUGUUUGGUGGUAAAUUAUUUGGCAUGCAUUUUAAACCUUCCAGGUAAAGUUAUAACAAAUAUUAUCUUAUUUUAUACAUUCUUAACCCCAUAUUUAUAUGAAGGGUAGGUUAUCUUUAAAAAAUACUAUAUUUAGGUAUAUGUUAUUUCACGAUAAUAUUUCGGUUUACGUUGCUUGAAUUGAACAAUCUUUAAUUAUGCAUUGGAUAUAAUAUACCUGUUCUUCAAUAACUGCAGGUAAAUACUGUGUAGAAUUAUUUUAACACCAACGGUUGUAACCUUGUUCCUCGUCUAAUGUAAGUCGUUUAUUCUGACAUAUAAAUCUGUAAUAUUCUUGUUAUAUUUAUUAAAUUGUUAUUUUUUUGACAUUAACUACUGUUUUUUUUAUGCUAUGCCUUCAUUCGCACUGACUGGAAAAUUAUCGUAAUGGAUUGCUAAAAAAUCGACUUCAUAAUGACGUGUUGUCAAUAAUCGCUGUCGUAAUAAUGGCAUAGAUUACCGCCAAAAGUUGGUAAUUAUAUUAAAUUAACAUAACAUAUUUUUAUGGAUAUUCUCUAUUUAACCUAACUGAAAAUACGAUAAAAAGUGCACUAUUACUUAUAUAUUGAGUAAGUUAUUAAAGUAAAUAUUUUAAGAGGCUAUAAAUUGGAUUGAUAAAAGAUUUUUAUGAUGGACAUUAAAAACUUAUGUACAACUCCGAUAAAAGCUUUCCUGUAGACUGUAAAGUGUUGUUAGUGAUAAAAAUAGGUUUCUUUUAAUUUUUUUUUCAUUUACUUAUAAAACAGUGUCCGUCUAGGGUUUUAUAUUUAAAUCUUACUUAAAUAAAUAUAUAGAAUAAUUCGAGACAA